Molecule: transfer RNA, 72 nt
Filed under: Ignavibacteria bacterium
Lineage: Bacteria; Pseudomonadati; Ignavibacteriota; Ignavibacteria
Also listed under: 1 other name
Description: tRNA-Cys
Rfam family: tRNA
About the family: Transfer RNA (tRNA) molecules are approximately 80 nucleotides in length. Their secondary structure includes four short double-helical elements and three loops (D, anti-codon, and T loops).
Source: RNAcentral
GCGGAGGUGGCACAAUGGCACUGCAUUCGGUUGCAACCCGGAUUUCCGUGGGUUCGAUUCCCACCCUCCGCU